UACGUAGGGUGCGAGCGUUGUCCGGAAUUACUGGGCGUAAAGGGCUCGUAGGCGGCCAACUAAGUCAGACGUGAAAUCCCCAGGCUCAGCCUGGGAACUGCGUCUGAUACUGGAUGGCUUGAAUCCGGGAGAGGGAUGCAGAAUUCCAGGUGUAGCGGUGAAAUGCGUAGAUAUCUGGAGGAAUACCGGUGGCGAAGGCGGCAUCCUGGACCGGCAUUGACGCUGAGGAGCGAAAGCCAGGGGAGCAAACGGG
Molecule: ribosomal RNA, 253 nt
Filed under: uncultured bacterium
Lineage: Bacteria
Description: partial 16S ribosomal RNA
Rfam family: Bacterial small subunit ribosomal RNA
Source: RNAcentral